AAACAAUGUCCACCCAAUCAAACAAUUCCAUCUGGAAUUGGAAAUAGGGUUUCUGACUCUCAUAGCCUUGAGGUUCUAGCUCAGCCCUCCAGUAAGAGCAGAGGUGGGGUCUAAAAAGCAUAACUGCUUGAAGAGGUAAUCAUUCAAUGUCAACUAUCAGAGGAUGCAGUAGGAAACCGAGUGAGGAGAGACAUCCCAGUCCUGUGCAUCAGCUUUUGCUGUUCAAUAUGCUUUUCUUUUAAGUGCUUCAAGAGAACUCUAGAGGAUGCAAGGGAACUCAUGUAAUGGUGAACAUAAGCAAGGGGGCUGCCCCCAAGCUCCCAGGGGCCCACCGGGGUGUGUAAUUGCCAACUUUUAGCUAGAAGAUUCAGAGAUUAACCUUUAAAAUAACUAUCUUUCUUUGUUUCUUUCAGACUUUUUUAAACUUCUGCUAACUUCACCAGGAGACACCCAGAGAACAUUGACCCAUUUUUAUUUAGGAUUCCUAACAUGGCCUUAAAACCCUCAUUUCUGUUUUCUGGGUGUGAAAAUACCAGAUCUAUAAGAAUUGUCUUCAGUGGGAGCACAAUAGGAUCCUUGUGAACACUCUGCAAAGGUUCUGUCACUUGCUCUCAAGUGUUUAGCCCAGCACAUCAGCUGUGAGCCAGAUGCUCAGUCUUUCUUGAAACAAAACACCAGAAACCUCAUCAGGCUGUUGUUUCAAAGCAGCUGUUAGCUUCAGGACCUCAGCUAACUUCUGCCUGCCGAGCCCACAGCUGGCCUUGGAUGCACUGGCUGCCUCUGGGAGUUCAACUUGUCCCUCUUCAGCCUAAGCAUCAAGGAGGAGCUGGUAAGAUUUAAUUUUUUUUUCUUUUGGUCCUGAUUGGAA
Molecule: long non-coding RNA, 868 nt
Filed under: Calidris pugnax (ruff)
Lineage: Eukaryota; Metazoa; Chordata; Aves; Charadriiformes; Scolopacidae
Description: lncRNA (ENSCPUG00000000113.1)
Source: RNAcentral